Molecule: ribosomal RNA, 492 nt
Filed under: uncultured bacterium
Lineage: Bacteria
Description: partial 16S ribosomal RNA
Rfam family: Bacterial small subunit ribosomal RNA
Source: RNAcentral
AGUGAACGCUGGCGGUAGGCCUAACACAUGCAAGUCGAACGGCAGCACAGUAAGAGCUUGCUCUUACGGGUGGCGAGUGGCGGACGGGUGAGGAAUACAUCGGAAUCUACUUUUUCGUGGGGGAUAACGUAGGGAAACUUACGCUAAUACCGCAUACGACCUACGGUUGAAAGCAGGGGAUCUUCGGACCUUGCGCGAUUGAAUGAGCCGAUGUCGGAUUAGCUAGUUGGCGGGGUAAAGGCCCACCAAGGCGACGAUCCGUAGCUGGUCUGAGAGGAUGAUCAGCCACACUGGAAUUGAGACACGGUCCAGACUCCUACGGGAGGCAGCAGUGGGGAAUAUUGGACAAUGGGCGCAAGCCUGAUCCAGCCAUACCGCGUGGGUGAAGAAGGCCUUCGGGUUGUAAAGCCCUUUUGUUGGGAAAGAAAAGCAGCAGGUUAAUACCCCGCUGUUCUGACGGUACCCAAAGAAUAAGCACCGGCUAACUUCGUG